This 914-nucleotide ribosomal RNA is filed under the name uncultured marine archaeon. RNAcentral's name for it is "bacterial SSU rRNA". It matches the Rfam family "Archaeal small subunit ribosomal RNA", at positions 1 to 922 of the family's 1478-position model. The record is from RNAcentral.
UUCCGGUUGAUCCUGCCGGACCUGACUGCUAUCGGAUUGAUACUAAGCCAUGCUAGUCUUUGCAGUAAUGCAAGGCAUACGGCUCAGUAACACGUAGUCAACUUACCCUAUGGACGAGGAUAAUCUCGGGAAACUGAGCAUAAUACUCGAUAGAUCAUAAUGCCUGGAAUGGUUUAUGGUUAAAAUGAUUCGUCGCCAUAGGAUGGGACUGCGGCCUAUCAGUUUGUUGGUGAGGUAAUGGCCCACCAAGACUAUUACAGGUACGGGCUCUGAGAGGAGUAGCCCGGAGAUGGGUACUGAGACACGGACCCAGGCCCUAUGGGGCGCAGCAGGCGAGAAAACUUUGCAAUGUGCGAAAGCACGACAAGGUUAAUCCGAGUGAUUUCUGCUAAAGAAAUCUUUUGUUAGUCCUAGAAACACUAACGAAUAAGGGGUGGGCAAGUUCUGGUGUCAGCCGCCGCGGUAAAACCAGCACCUCAAGUGGUCAGGAUGAUUAUUGGGCCUAAAGCAUCCGUAGCCGGCUCUGUAAGUUUUCGGUUAAAUCUGUACGCUUAACGUACAGGCCGCCGGGAAUACUGCAAAGCUAGGGAGUGGGAGAAGUAGACGGUACUCGGUAGGAAGUGGUAAAAUGCUUUGAUCUAUCGAUGACCACCUGUGGCGAAGGCGGUCUACUAGAACACGUCCGACGGUGAGGGAUGAAAGCUGGGGGAGCAAACCGGAUUAGAUACCCGGGUAGUCCCAGCUGUAAACUAUGCAAACUCAGUGAUGCAUUGGCUUGUGGCCAAUGCAGUGCUGCAGGGAAGCCGUUAAGUUUGCCGCCUGGGAAGUACGUACGCAAGUAUGAAACUUAAAGGAAUUGGCGGGGGAGCACCACAAGGGGUGAAGCCUGCGGUUCAAUUGGAUUCAACGCCGGG